RNAcentral lists this long non-coding RNA (1982 nucleotides) under Equus caballus (horse). RNAcentral describes it as "lncRNA (ENSECAG00000054888.1)". Lineage: Eukaryota; Metazoa; Chordata; Mammalia; Perissodactyla; Equidae. The record is from RNAcentral.
AUCAAUAAGCAACUAGAUAAACCGAGAAUUCUUAGGAAACUCAAGAAUGUGGCGGAUCCAUUCACUCCCUCCACCAGAUCUGGACGGAUAUGGACUGAGGCACUUUGCCAGAGCUGGGGGCACACCUGAUCCACGCCCCACACGGCUUCCAUUCUGACAGAAGGUCUUGUGUCACCACCUGCAAACGCACGUGAAGUAGAAAGAGCUGUGGGCACCCCCGGGGAGAUGUGACCAGCCCAGGCGUCAGGAAGAGCCACCUUGAUGAAGCAAUGUGUAAGCUGAGAGCUGUAGGACCAAAGGAGCUGACAAGAGCACAGCGCCCCCAAAGGGAUCGCUACCUUGAAGACCUAAAAGGAAAACAGCAACCUUCCCUGGGGAGGAGCUGAGGACUAGCGACACUGCCCCCAAGGCACCCUCCCUGGGUGUGAGGAUGACGCCCCAGCCGAUGAGGGAAUAAGCCGGAGCCCCACUGUGGAUUUCCGAGCUCCAGCCCCUCGGGAACUCAGCUCCCUGAAGCCAGUCAACGUGUGGCAUUAGUGCCAGGGAGCAGGUGGGCCCUCAUCUCUAGUCUCCAGUGGAAAGAAAUCACACUCCAGGAAGAUGAUCUUCAGCACACAUUACGUCUUAAACGUGAAAACAGGCGAGAUAGAUAGAAAGAUCUUGUAAUGUCCUCGUGUGAGCUACAGGGACACGGGGACACGUGCAGACAGCCCCCUGAGGUGGUCCCUGCUUUGGGGAUCCCCACCCGCUCCCUCCAGCUCCCCGAGGCUGAUGGACAGGCACGGAUCCUCCUUCAGUUCUGAGAAUGAAGAAGUCCACGUUCCACCCACCCCGUGGCGACCACCGCCUCGCCCCUCCCAAGCGUCACUUCCCUCAUAUCUUGUUCUGUGGUCAGGGAGCAAAGAAGGAAGGAAUCUGAGGACAUGUCCACUCUUCACUUACCAAACACAGAAACUGACAGCUCUCUCCCUGCCGGCCCCGCUCCCGUCACAUGAAGAACAGAACAAGAAGCAACAACUAGUCUCCUUCCUGCUUCCUUCUCAAAUGAGCUAAAGAAAUUAUUCCGACACUUGUUCAAACGGUAAGGAAGACCUUGUUCAAGACUAUGGGAGUGAGGCUCCACUCCGAACGCAGCAAAGAUGGCUGAAUAUAGCAAAGAUGGUCCAGGCUUACAGCCCACGCGCAGAGGGAGAGGUCGGUGGGUGGAUGCAAAGCCACCAAGGAGACAUCCAGGGUCGGGGUGCUGGCUACGCUGACUCAGCAGGUUCCUGCAGAAGCAGUGAGGGCCAUCAGACCCCGGGCAGGGGUGAGGACCUCGCCCAGGCAUCUGGAGUAGGGAAUCUGGCUAAGCUGACUCGGCAGGAUUCUGUGCUGAGAUCGUCUUCCAAAGGCCAAGGACAAGGAGCCUGUCUGAAGCCUGGUCAAGGGGAGGCUCUUUGUGAACCACCAGAGUUAAACUGGGGCAACUUGUGUGUGUGUUUGCACACCUGCACAUAGCGUGUGUGUGCACAGACGUGUGUUUAAUUAUGGAAAUGGAAGAUGCAGAAGCAAGAGUAUUUUUAGUUGAGACAAGUUGCUCCCUCAGGCCCAGUUAACUCCAGGCUGUGUGGGGAUCUUCCCCCGCCCACAUCUAGAGAUGUGAACCAGCAGGGGUUUGCUCCAUCACUUAUCUGGAAUAAAGAUUAAAAUUAAGAUUAGUGGUCAUCUGCUCUCAGGAACAAGCCAGCCAGGGAAAUUUACAGGAAAUGAGACAAGAGUCUGGGGGAGUGGCCCACACGCACUGUUGUGCAUCCCGCCCACACUUAGCCCUAGGGGACAACUCAGCCCUCAGUCCUCAGACACUUAUUGAACACCUGCUCUGAGCCCGGCCCUGAGAAGGUGCUGAGGAUCCAGUCCCCACUCCUGAGGGGCCUGUGGUCCAGGAGGGGAGGAGGAGGGUCCCCACUCCUGAGGGGCCUGUGGUCCAGGAGGGGAGGCUGAGG